This 474-nucleotide ribosomal RNA is filed under the name uncultured bacterium. RNAcentral's name for it is "bacterial SSU rRNA". It matches the Rfam family "Bacterial small subunit ribosomal RNA", at positions 36 to 518 of the family's 1533-position model. The record is from RNAcentral.
CUGGCGGCGCACAUAAGACAUGCAAGUCGAACGGACUUAACUCUUCUUUAGAUUGAGAGCGGUUAGUGGCGGACUGGUGAGUAACGCGUGAGUAACCUGCCUAUUAGAGGGGAAUAACAGUGAGAAAUCACUGCUAAUACCGCAUAUGCUCACAGUACCACAUGGUACAGUGAGGAAAGGAGCAAUCCGCUAAUAGAUGGACUCGCGUCUGAUUAGCUAGUUGGUGGGGCAACGGCCUACCAAGGCGACGAUCAGUAGCCGGACUGAGAGGUUGAACGGCCACAUUGGGACUGAGAUACGGCCCAGACUCCUACGGGAGGCAGCAGUCGGGAAUAUUGCGCAAUGGAAGGAAACUCUGACGCAGUGACGCCGCGUAUAGGAAGAAGGUUUUCGGAUUGUAAACUAUUGUCGUUAGGGAAGAAAAAAGACAGUACCUAAGGAGGAAGCCCCGGCUAACUAUGUGCCAGCCGCGGC